UAAAUGCCUAUUGUAAUGCUAAUAUUAGGCAUAAAAACAAACUUUUGGACAAAGUUUUAAAUAUUGAGGUAAAUUAUUUUGUCUAUUUAUUCGAUGCUUAUCAAUUUGAUUCUAAUAUCUAUAAUCAUUGUCGAUCAUGUUAAAAUAAAAAAGAAUUUUUGCUAGUUAAAAUUAUAUAAUUAUGAAGAUUUAAUUUCAAAAUUCAAUGUUUUAAUAUGGAUCGAAAUGAAUGUACAGUACAUGUUGAAGAAGUCGAUUCAUUCAAGGAAGUUUUAACAUAUUAAUUUACUAUAAUACAUUUUAAAUUUUCCAAAAUGAAUGACUUUGUAAAAAUAUACCGUAUAUAUAUUUGCAACAAUAUAGAGUUUGAGCAUGGCGUUUUCCGUAUACACUUAUAAAACACAUACGGUAGACAGCGCCGAAGACGUUUGCGGUGGUUAUGUUUCGUGGGUUAUAAGUUAUGUUAUAAAACUAUCCAAAUAUCUUCGCAAACUUGAUUUAAAAAUCUCUUCCAGAGCUUUUAUUCUUUCUAGUUCUGUGAAACGGAAUCUACUUUUCACCGUUCAUUUUAAUUGAUUUUAACCAAAACUACAGAAUGAGACGAAUCCGAUAUGGC
RNAcentral lists this long non-coding RNA (616 nucleotides) under Androctonus crassicauda. Lineage: Eukaryota; Metazoa; Arthropoda; Arachnida; Scorpiones; Buthidae. The record is from RNAcentral.